Molecule: unclassified non-coding RNA, 255 nt
Filed under: uncultured fungus
Lineage: Eukaryota; Fungi
Description: partial contains 5.8S ribosomal RNA, internal transcribed spacer 2, and large subunit ribosomal RNA
Source: RNAcentral
AACGCACAUUGCGCCCAUCAGUAUUCUGUUGGGCAUGCCUGUUCGAGCGUCAUUUCCACCCUCAAGCCCUAGCUGCUUGGUGUUGGGGCACUCUACACUUUGCUGUAGGCCCCGAAAAUCAGUGGCGGUCUCACUGGGACUCCGAGCGCAGUAGAUUUCUCUCGCUUAGGGGCGACCAGUGGGUUUCUAGCCGUUAAACCCCCCAAGUCUUAAAAGGUUGACCUCGGAUCAGGUAGGAAUACCCGCUGAACUUAA